CAGGUCCGUGAUGCCCUUUAGAUGCUCUGGGGCUGCACGCGUGCUACAAUGUUAGGAUCAAUAGGACUGCGAGCCUGAGAGGGUGCGCUACUCUUAUAAUCCCUAACGUAGUUGGGAUUGACGUUUGUAAUCAGCGUCAUGAACCAGGAAUCCCUUGUAAAUGUGUGUCAACAACGCACGUUGAAUACGUCCCUGCCCUUUGUACACACCGCCCGUCGCUCCUACCGAUUGGAUGACUCGGUGAAAUCACCGGAUGCUUACGAGCAGAAAGUGAUUAAAUCACGUUAUCUAGAGGAAGGAGAAGUCGUAACAAGGUAACGGUAGGUGAACCUGCCGUUGGAUCAGUU
RNAcentral lists this non-coding RNA (347 nucleotides) under Trichomonas vaginalis G3. RNAcentral describes it as "Eukaryotic small subunit ribosomal RNA". It matches the Rfam family "Eukaryotic small subunit ribosomal RNA", at positions 1457 to 1831 of the family's 1831-position model. The record is from Rfam by way of RNAcentral. Lineage: Eukaryota; Parabasalia; Trichomonadida; Trichomonadidae.